GACGAACGCUGGCGGCGUGCCUAACACAUGCAAGUCGAGCGGAGCUGUUAAGAGGAAGUUUUCGGAUGGAAUCUUAAUAGUUUAGCGGCGGACGGGUGAGUAACGCGUGAGCGACCAACCUUGCACAGGGGGAUAACGGACCGAAAGGUUCACUAAUACCGCAUGAGACCACGGUGUUGCAUGACACAGGGGUCAAAGGAGGAAUCCGGUGCAAGACGGGCUCGCGUCCGAUUAGGUAGUUGGUGGGGUAAAGGCCUACCAAGCCAAUGAUCGGUAGCCGACCUGAGAGGGUGAUCGGCCACAUUGGAACUGAGAUACGGUCCAAACGCCUACGGGAGGCAGCAGUGGGGAAUAUUGGGCAAUGGGGGAAACCCUGACCCAGCAACGCCGCGUGAAGGAAGAAGGUUUUCGGAUUGUAAACUUCUGUCCUUGGUGAAGAGAAGAAGACGGUAGCCGAGGAGGAAGCCCCGGCUAACUACGUGCCAGCCGCCGCCGUAA
RNAcentral lists this ribosomal RNA (498 nucleotides) under uncultured bacterium. RNAcentral describes it as "partial 16S ribosomal RNA". It matches the Rfam family "Bacterial small subunit ribosomal RNA", at positions 28 to 523 of the family's 1533-position model. The record is from RNAcentral.